ACAUGGAUUUGGAUUUAUGACAGGCUCAUCCCAGUGGGCCUCUCAUAGUGAUCCAUGCUAGAGCAAACUGAGGCUCCUCACCAUUGCCCAGCCCCCAUGCCUGUAGACUGCUGGCACUGAAGUGGGUCACACAGUG
This is a small nucleolar RNA of Mastomys coucha (southern multimammate mouse), 136 nucleotides long. RefSeq annotates it as small nucleolar RNA SNORA42/SNORA80 family. Lineage: Eukaryota; Metazoa; Chordata; Mammalia; Rodentia; Muridae. The transcript has a single exon. The record is from RefSeq and is a predicted model, not a curated record.